CCCCGGCUAGCUCAGUCGGUAGAGCGUGAGACUCUUAAUCUCAAGGUCGAGGGUUCAAGCCCCUCGCUGGGAA
RNAcentral lists this transfer RNA (73 nucleotides) under Sphaeroforma arctica JP610. It matches the Rfam family "tRNA". Rfam says of the family: Transfer RNA (tRNA) molecules are approximately 80 nucleotides in length. Their secondary structure includes four short double-helical elements and three loops (D, anti-codon, and T loops). Further hydrogen bonds mediate the characteristic L-shaped molecular structure. tRNAs have two regions of fundamental functional importance: the anti-codon, which is responsible for specific mRNA codon recognition, and the 3' end, to which the tRNAs corresponding amino acid is attached (by aminoacyl-tRNA synthetases). tRNAs cope with the degeneracy of the genetic code in two manners: having more than one tRNA (with a specific anti-codon) for a particular amino acid; and 'wobble' base-pairing, i.e. permitting non-standard base-pairing at the 3rd anti-codon position. Lineage: Eukaryota; Ichthyosporea; Ichthyophonida. The record is from Rfam by way of RNAcentral.